RNAcentral lists this transfer RNA (71 nucleotides) under Marmota monax (woodchuck). Its description in RNAcentral is "tRNA.Ala". It matches the Rfam family "tRNA". Rfam says of the family: Transfer RNA (tRNA) molecules are approximately 80 nucleotides in length. Their secondary structure includes four short double-helical elements and three loops (D, anti-codon, and T loops). The record is from RNAcentral. Lineage: Eukaryota; Metazoa; Chordata; Mammalia; Rodentia; Sciuridae.
GAGGUUGUGGCUCAGUGGUAGAGUGCAUGCCUAGCAUGUGUGCGGCCCUGGGUUCGAUCCUCAGCACCACA